GUGGUAAAAAUAUAAAUACGAUACUCUGGAAAACCUCCCGGGUGAAAUGCUCACCGAUAUCCGUGCGCUUGUGGAUCAUUUUCUAAUUGCGUUACCAAAUAUCAACAAUAGCCGGAGCCAGUAGACAUGAACUCGAGACUCCCAAAUCAAAUCACCGUGGAGCGCGAAAUCGGUGAAGAAAGAGUGGCCAUCUGGAAAAGAAUGGGAAAUCGAUGAAAAACACGAAGGACCCCUACCUGGUGCGCCAACUGUCGGUGUUUUCCCCACGGGGGGUCACACCAACGAGUGAAUUUGUAUGCGUGCUCCCUUUUCCAGAUGGUGAUGCAAAAAGACACAAAGUUUUAUCCUGGUUCAGGCAAGAGAAGGCCCUACGUC
This 375-nucleotide long non-coding RNA is filed under the name Sorghum bicolor (sorghum). Its description in RNAcentral is "long non-coding RNA (SBIC_LNC008743)". Lineage: Eukaryota; Viridiplantae; Streptophyta; Magnoliopsida; Poales; Poaceae. The record is from RNAcentral.